RNAcentral lists this long non-coding RNA (456 nucleotides) under Rattus norvegicus (Norway rat). RNAcentral's name for it is "long non-coding RNA NONRATT016275". The record is from RNAcentral. Lineage: Eukaryota; Metazoa; Chordata; Mammalia; Rodentia; Muridae.
GUGCAGGUGUGUAGGUGUGCACCUGUGUAUAGAGGCCGAAGGACAACACGGGUGUCAUUCCUCAGUGGGGUUUGCCAAACUCUGAGGGGACAAGCCUGAUGGAGACCUCUAAUUUAGACACUCUGCAUAAUGUCUGGCUGUGGAUCUCUGCAACCUGCUGUCAUCUGCUGCCAGAGGAAGCCUCUCUUAUUACAACUGGACAAGGCGCAAUGUGGUGGAUUGCAUCGACUUGUUUUCGUAUGUUGAGACGUCCCUGCAUCUCUGGAAUGAUAUCUAUUUGAUCACCGUGGAUGACUUUUUUGAUGUGUUCUUGGAUUUGAUUUGCAAGUACCUAAUGAGUAGUUUUGCAUCUAUGUUUAUAUGAGAAAUUGGUCUGUAAUUUUCUUUCUUUGUUGAGUCUUUAUGUGGUUUGAGUAUCAGAGUAACUGUGACUUCAUAAAAUGAACUUGCCAAUAU